This 1021-nucleotide ribosomal RNA is filed under the name uncultured marine eubacterium HstpL49. RNAcentral's name for it is "bacterial SSU rRNA". It matches the Rfam family "Bacterial small subunit ribosomal RNA", at positions 42 to 1055 of the family's 1533-position model. The record is from RNAcentral. Lineage: Bacteria; Pseudomonadati; Pseudomonadota; Gammaproteobacteria.
GCAGGCCUAAUACAUGCAAGUCGAACGGAAACGAUGGGAGCUUGCUCCCAGGCGUCGAGUGGCGGACGGGUGAGUAACGCGUAGGAAUCUACCCAGUAGCGGGGGAUAGCCCGGGGAAACUCGGAUUAAUACCGCAUACGCCCCACGGGGGAAAGGCCGGGAUCUUCGGACCGGUCACUAUUGGAGGAGCCUGCGUUGGAUUAGCUAGUUGGUAGGGUAAUGGCCUACCAAGGCGACGAUCCAUAGCUGGUCUGAGAGGACGAUCAGCCACACUGGAACUGAGACACGGUCCAGACUCCUACGGGAGGCAGCAGUAGGGAAUAUUGCACAAUGGGCGAAAGCCUGAUGCAGCCAUGCCGCGUGUGUGAAGAAGGCCCUAGGGUUGUAAAGCACUUUCAGUAGGGAAGAAUUAGCGAGGCUAAUAACCUUGUGAAAUGACGUUACCUACAGAAGAAGUACCGGCUAACUCCGUGCCAGCAGCCGCGGUAAUACGGAGGGUACGAACGUUAAUCGGAAUUACUGGGCGUAAAGCGCGUGUAGGUGGUUCAUCAAGUGGGAUGUGAAAGCCCGGGGCUCAACCUCGGAACUGCAUUCCAAACUGACGAACUAGAGUACGAGAGAGGGGGGUAGAAUUCAGAGUGUAGCGGUGAAAUGCGUAGAUAUUCUGAGGAAUACCAGUGGCGAAGGCGGCCCCCUGGCUUGAUACUGACACUCAGACGCGAAAGCGUGGGGAGCAAACAGGAUUAGAUACCCUGGUAGUCCACGCCGUAAACGAUGUCUGCUAGCCGUUGGGAGGCUUGACCUUUUAGUGGCGAAGCUAACGCGAUAAGCAGACCGCCUGGGGAGUACGGUCGCAAGAUUAAAACUCAAAUGAAUUGACGGGGGCCCGCACAAGCGGUGGAGCAUGUGGUUUAAUUCGAUGCAACGCGAAAAACCUUACCAGGCCUUGACAUCCUGAGAACUUUCUAGAGAUAGAUUGGUGCCUUCGGGAGCUCAGUGACAGGUGUUGCAUGGCUGUCGU